RNAcentral lists this ribosomal RNA (925 nucleotides) under uncultured bacterium. RNAcentral's name for it is "bacterial SSU rRNA". It matches the Rfam family "Bacterial small subunit ribosomal RNA", at positions 84 to 999 of the family's 1533-position model. The record is from RNAcentral.
CCAGGCGUCGAGUGGCGGACGGGUGAGUAACGCGUAGGAAUCUGCCAGAUAGUGGGGGAUAGCCCGGAGAAAUCCGGAUUAAUACCGCAUAAUCUCCAUGGAGUAAAGAGGGCCUCUAUUUAUAAGCUUUCGCUAUCUGAUGAGCCUGCGUAAGAUUAGCUAGUUGGUGGGGUAAUGGCCUACCAAGGCGACGAUCUUUAGCUGGUCUGAGAGGAUGAUCAGCCACACUGGGACUGAGACACGGCCCAGACUCCUACGGGAGGCAGCAGUGGGGAAUAUUGGACAAUGGGGGCAACCCUGAUCCAGCAAUACCGCGUGUGUGAAGAAGGCCUGAGGGUUGUAAAGCACUUUCAAUUGUGAAGAAAAGUUAAUAGUUAAUACCUAUUAGCCUUGACGUUAACUUUAGAAGAAGCACCGGCUAACUCCGUGCCAGCAGCCGCGGUAAUACGGAGGGUGCAAGCGUUAAUCGGAAUUACUGGGCGUAAAGCGUGCGUAGGCGGUUGACUAAGUCAGAUGUGAAAGCCCCGGGCUUAACCUGGGAACUGCAUUUGAAACUGGUCAACUAGAGUAUGGUAGAGGAAAGUGGAAUUUCUGGUGUAGCGGUGAAAUGCGUAGAUAUCAGAAGGAACAUCGAUGGCGAAGGCAGCUUUCUGGACCAAUACUGACGCUGAGGUACGAAAGCGUGGGUAGCAAACAGGAUUAGAUACCCUGGUAGUCCACGCCGUAAACGAUGAUAACUAGCCGUUGGGAGGGUUUACCUCUUAGUGGCGAAGCUAACGCGUUAAGUUAUCCGCCUGGGGAGUACGGCCGCAAGGCUAAAACUCAAAGGAAUUGACGGGGGACCCGCACAAGCGGGGGGAGCAUGUGGUUUAAUUCGAUGCAACGCGGAAGAACCUUACCUGGGUCUUGACAUACAGAAGAACUU